UGAGUAACACGUAUCCAACCUGCCGUCUACUCUUGGACAGCCUUCUGAAAGGAAGAUUAAUACAAGAUGGCAUCAUGAGUCCGCAUGUUCACAUGAUUAAAGGUAUUCCGGUAGACGAUGGGGAUGCGUUCCAUUAGAUAGUAGGCGGGGUAACGGCCCACCUAGUCUUCGAUGGAUAGGGGUUCUGAGAGGAAGGUCCCCCACAUUGAACUGAGACACGGUCCAA
This 226-nucleotide ribosomal RNA is filed under the name uncultured bacterium. RNAcentral's name for it is "partial 16S ribosomal RNA". It matches the Rfam family "Bacterial small subunit ribosomal RNA", at positions 107 to 334 of the family's 1533-position model. The record is from RNAcentral.